This is a non-coding RNA of Phyllostomus discolor (pale spear-nosed bat), 644 nucleotides long. Lineage: Eukaryota; Metazoa; Chordata; Mammalia; Chiroptera; Phyllostomidae. The record is from the annotation of a RefSeq genome assembly.
GGCUGGGUAGAUGGUGUGAGAAAUCACUAUAAUUGUUACAGAAAAGAAGGGACAGACUGAUAACAGAAGUAGCUCUGUUGGCUGGAGACUGUAAAUCUAUAACUGAUCUUAAUUAGGAGGAACAAUGAAGAUAUCUAUUGGAGCUGUAUUUAUGUUCUUUUGGCUGCAGCUGUACUGGGUCAGCCAAGGAGAGCAAGUGGAUCAGCAUCCUUCUACCCUGAGUGUCCAGGAGGGAAACACCUCUGUCAUCACCUGUGCUUAUUCUGACCACUCCUCAAGCUACUUUCCUUGGUAUAAGAAAGAACCUGGAAAAGGUCCUCAGCUCAUUAUAGGCAUUCAUUCAACUAAGGACAAAAAUCAAAAUGAAAGACUCACUGUUUUAUUGAAUAAGAUGGCCAGACAUUUCUCCCUGCACAUCACAGCCACCCAACCUGGCGACUCAGCUGUGUACUUCUGUGCAGCGAAUGCACAUUGCUUCUUAGCACGUACAACCUGUACACAAAUCUGUGUGUGGAGCAGCUCCCUCUCCUUUGAGAAAGACAUUCAAGAAUAGCACUUGUGAAACUGUUUGUCUGCAAGCAGAAACUAAUGUGUUCUAUGUUAAAAACAUGUAAUAAGAAGAUUAGUUUCACAAUGACCUAGAA